GUCCUGGCAGUAAACGGUGCACGCUUGGUGUGGCAGGAUUCGACCCCUGCCGUGCCGGAGCUAACGCGUUAAGCGUGCCGCCUGGGAAGUACGGUCGCAAGAUUAAAACUCAAAGAAAUUGACGGGGACCCGCACAAGCGGUGGAGUAUGUGGCUUAAUUCGAUGCAACGCGAAGAACCUUACCUGGGCUUGACAUGCAUUUUGUCGUCUGUGAAAGCAGGCUAGAGGGUUAAACCUCGGGAUGCACAGGUGUUGCAUGGCUGUCGU
This 267-nucleotide ribosomal RNA is filed under the name uncultured bacterium. Its description in RNAcentral is "partial 16S ribosomal RNA". It matches the Rfam family "Bacterial small subunit ribosomal RNA", at positions 793 to 1055 of the family's 1533-position model. The record is from RNAcentral.